AUUGAACGCUGGCGGCAGGCCUAACACAUGCAAGUCGAGCGGAUGAAGGGAGCUUGCUCCUGGAUUCAGCGGCGGACGGGUGAGUAAUGCCUAGGAAUCUGCCUGGUAGUGGGGUAUAACGUCCGGAAACGGGCGCUAAUACCGCAUACGUCCUGAGGGAGAAAGUGGGGGAUCUUCGGACCUCACGCUAUCAGAUGAGCCUAGGUCGGAUUAGCUAGUUGGUGGGGUAAAGGCCUACCAAGGCGACGAUCCGUACCUGGUCUGAGAGGAUGAUCAGUCACACUGGAACUGAGACACGGUCCAGACUCCUACGGGAGGCAGCAGUGGGGAAUAUUGGACAAUGGGCGAAAGCCUGAUCCAGCCAUGCCGCGUGUGUGAAGAAGGUCUUCGGAUUGUAAAGCACUUUAAGUUGGGAGGAAGGGCAGUAAGUUAAUACCUUGCUGUUUUGACGUUACCAACAGAAUAAGCACCGGCUAACUUCGUG
This 484-nucleotide ribosomal RNA is filed under the name uncultured bacterium. RNAcentral describes it as "partial 16S ribosomal RNA". It matches the Rfam family "Bacterial small subunit ribosomal RNA", at positions 30 to 507 of the family's 1533-position model. The record is from RNAcentral.